GACGUAGGGCGCGAGCGUUGUCCGGAUUUAUUGGGCGUAAAGAGCUCGUAGGCGGUUUGUCGCGUCGUUCGUGAAAACUCACAGCUUAACUGUGAGCUUGCGGUCGAUACGGGCAGGCUAGAGUUCGGUAGGGGAGACUGGAAUUCCUGGUGUAGCGGUGAAAUGCGCAGAUAUCAGGAGGAACACCGGUGGCGAAGGCGGGUCUCUGGGCCGAUACUGACGCUGAGGAGCGAAAGCGUGGUGAGCGAACAGG
RNAcentral lists this ribosomal RNA (253 nucleotides) under uncultured bacterium. RNAcentral describes it as "partial 16S ribosomal RNA". It matches the Rfam family "Bacterial small subunit ribosomal RNA", at positions 524 to 776 of the family's 1533-position model. The record is from RNAcentral.